This 653-nucleotide ribosomal RNA is filed under the name uncultured bacterium. RNAcentral describes it as "bacterial SSU rRNA". The stretch from base 1 to 543 matches the Rfam family "Bacterial small subunit ribosomal RNA", at positions 338 to 873 of the family's 1533-position model. The record is from RNAcentral.
CCUACGGGAGGCAGCAGUGGGGAAUCUUGCGCAAUGCACGAAAGUGUGACGCAGCAACGCCGCGUGCGGGAAGAAGGUCUUCGGAUCGUAAACCGCUUUCAGUUGGGACGAGGGUUACACGGUGAAUAGCCGGAGUGACUGACGGUACCUUCAGAAGAAGCCCCGGCUAACUACGUGCCAGCAGCCGCGGUAAUACGUAGGGGGCAAGCGUUAUCCGGAAUCAUUGGGCGUAAAGCGCGUGUAGGCGGUUCAGUAAGUCCGCUCUGAAAGCCCAGGGCUCAACCCUGGGAGGCGGGUGGAUACUACUGAACUAGAGUACGGAAGAGGAGAUUGGAAUUCCUGGUGUAGCGGUGAAAUGCGCAGAUAUCAGGAGGAACACCAACAGCGAAGGCAGAUCUCUGGGACGUUACUGACGCUGAGACGCGAAAGCGUGGGGAGCAAACAGGAUUAGAUACCCUGGUAGUCCACGACCGUAACGAUAGAUACUAGUAGUAGGGUAGUCGACUCCUCUGUGCGACGACUACGACAUUAAGUUAUUCCGUCCGUCGGGGUAGGUACGGGCCGGCCGACGGACGUAAAACCGUUAAAACGUUAAGUAAGUUAGUACGGCGUGAGACGUCGCCGAACGGACGACCGACCGAGGGAGGUUAGGG